RNAcentral lists this ribosomal RNA (488 nucleotides) under uncultured bacterium. Its description in RNAcentral is "partial 16S ribosomal RNA". It matches the Rfam family "Bacterial small subunit ribosomal RNA", at positions 30 to 507 of the family's 1533-position model. The record is from RNAcentral.
UGAACGCUGGCGGCAGGCCUAAUACAUGCAAGUCGAACGGCAGCACAGCAGAGCUUGCUCUGUGGGUGGCGAGUGGCGGACGGGUGAGGAAUACAUGGGAAUCUGCCCAGUCGUGGGGGAUAACGUAUGGAAACGUACGCUAAUACCGCAUGCGCCCUUUGGGGGAAAGCCGGGGACCUUCGGGCCUGGCGCGAUUGGAUGAGCCCAUGUUCGAUUAGCUAGUUGGCGGGGUAAAGGCCCACCAAGGCGACGAUCGAUAGCUGGUCUGAGAGGAUGAUCAGCCACACUGGGACUGAGACACGGCCCAGACUCCUACGGGAGGCAGCAGUAGGGAAUAUUGGACAAUGGGCGCAAGCCUGAUCCAGCCAUGCCGCGUGAGUGAAGAAGGCCCUCGGGUUGUAAAGCUCUUUUGUCCGGAAAGAAAAGCAUUCGGUUAAUACCCGGGUGUUCUGACGGUACCGGAAGAAUAAGCACCGGCUAACUUCGUG